UGGGGAAUUUUGGACAAUGGGCGAAAGCCUGAUCCAGCAAUGCCGCGUGUGUGAAGAAGGCCUUCGGGUUGUAAAGCACUUUUGUCCGGAAAGAAAUCCUUGGCUCUAAUACAGUCGGGGGAUGACGGUACCGGAAGAAUAAGCACCGGCUAACUACGUGCCAGCAGCCGCGGUAAUACGUAGGGUGCAAGCGUUAAUCGGAAUUACUGGGCGUAAAGCGUGCGCAGGCGGUUUGCUAAGACCGAUGUGAAAUCCCCGGGCUCAACCUGGGAACUGCAUUGGUGACUGGCAGGCUAGAGUAUGGCAGAGGGGGGUAGAAUUCCACGUGUAGCAGUGAAAUGCGUAGAGAUGUGGAGGAAUACCGAUGGCGAAGGCAGCCCCCUGGGCCAAUACUGACGCUCAUGCACGAAAGCGUGGGGAGCAAACAGGAUUAGAUACCCUGGUAGUCCACGCCCUAAACGAUGUCAACUAGUUGUUGGGGAUUCAUUCUUAGUAACGUAGCUAACGCGUGAAGUUGACCGCCUGGGGAGUACGGUCGCAAGAUUAAAACUCAAAUGAAUUGACGGGGUCAUAGCUGUUUCCU
RNAcentral lists this ribosomal RNA (583 nucleotides) under uncultured bacterium. Its description in RNAcentral is "partial 16S ribosomal RNA". It matches the Rfam family "Bacterial small subunit ribosomal RNA", at positions 355 to 1375 of the family's 1533-position model. The record is from RNAcentral.